GUGAAGGUCAUGGGCCGGACUGGGUCUAGGGGACAGGUUACUCAAGUGAGAGUCAAGUUCUUGGAUGAUCAGAAUCGUUUCAUCAUGAGGAAUGUCAAGGGACCAGUGAGGGAGGGAGAUAUCCUUACCUUGCUUGAGUCUGAGAGGGAAGCCAGAAGGUUGCGGUGAUUUUAUGUUGGUCUCCUACCUCUGUUUUGUUGAAGUGCGCACGACUGUUAUUUCUGUUGGUCUAUGGCAGUUGUGCUGUUGUUGGUGUUACUUUAUGAUAUUUCUUGCCGUUAGUAGCAACGUCUGAGACUUAUUUUGUCAUGAAAUUUCU
RNAcentral lists this long non-coding RNA (319 nucleotides) under Fragaria vesca (wild strawberry). RNAcentral's name for it is "long non-coding RNA (FVES_LNC003061)". Lineage: Eukaryota; Viridiplantae; Streptophyta; Magnoliopsida; Rosales; Rosaceae. The record is from RNAcentral.